Molecule: small nuclear RNA, 144 nt
Organism: Toxorhynchites rutilus septentrionalis
Lineage: Eukaryota; Metazoa; Arthropoda; Insecta; Diptera; Culicidae
Product: U4 spliceosomal RNA
Exons: 1
Source: RefSeq, a predicted model, not a curated record
AUCUACUGCGCAGUGGCGAUAUCGUAACCAAUGAGGUUUUACCGAGAUGCGAUUAUUGCUAGUUGAAAAACCAUCAGCAACUGCUUCUUUAAAAACAAAGCAAAUUAUCGGCUAUUUCCAGAGCCACCAAAAUUUUAUACGAAA